Molecule: long non-coding RNA, 256 nt
Filed under: Homo sapiens (human)
Lineage: Eukaryota; Metazoa; Chordata; Mammalia; Primates; Hominidae
Description: HSALNT0032007
Source: RNAcentral
UACAGCAACGGGUGUGUUCUAUAUACAGCAUGGUACACUGGAUGAAGGGAUGACUCAUAUCCCAGGCCUUGCUGCAAGGGAUUCUGACCCCAGUUCAAGACACAUAGAAGAGAAAAUGCAUUGGCAUGAGAAGGCUGGGGUAACAAAAUGAACAUCUUUAAAACUAACUUUUAAAAAAGUCUCAUUGAGAAUAAUCACACAUCAUUUAUUCUUUUAGAUGUCUUACAAAUGUGGAUUAAAAUCAUUUACAUCAUAU